Molecule: ribosomal RNA, 353 nt
Filed under: uncultured Pseudomonas sp.
Lineage: Bacteria; Pseudomonadati; Pseudomonadota; Gammaproteobacteria; Pseudomonadales; Pseudomonadaceae
Description: bacterial SSU rRNA
Rfam family: Bacterial small subunit ribosomal RNA
Source: RNAcentral
ACACAGGUGCUGCAUUGGCUGUCGUUCAGCUCGUGUCGUGAGAUGUUGGGUUAAGUCCCGUAACGAGCGCAACCCUUGUCCUUAGUUACCAGCACGUUAUGGUGGGCACUCUAAGGAGACUGCCGGUGACAAACCGGAGGAAGGUGGGGAUGACGUCAAGUCAUCAUGGCCCUUACGGCCUGGGCUACACACGUGCUACAAUGGUCGGUACAAAGGGUUGCCAAGCCGCGAGGUGGAGCUAAUCCCAUAAAACCGAUCGUAGUCCGGAUCGCAGUCUGCAACUCGACUGCGUGAAGUCGGAAUCGCUAGUAAUCGUGAAUCAGAAUGUCACGGUGAAUACGUUCCCGGGCCUU